Molecule: ribosomal RNA, 518 nt
Filed under: uncultured bacterium
Lineage: Bacteria
Description: bacterial SSU rRNA
Rfam family: Bacterial small subunit ribosomal RNA
Source: RNAcentral
CACCUACGGGUGGCAGCAGUGGGGAAUAUUGCACAAUGGGCGGAAGCCUGAUGCAGCGACGCCGCGUGAGGGAUGACGGCCUUCGGGUUGUAAACCUCUUUCAGUACCGACGAAGCGUGAGUGACGGUAGGUACAGAAGAAGCACCGGCCAACUACGUGCCAGCAGCCGCGGUAAUACGUAGGGUGCGAGCGUUGUCCGGACUUACUGGGCGUAAAGAGCUCGUAGGCGGUUUGUCGCGUCGUCUGUGAAAUCCCACGACUCAAUCGUGGGCGUGCAGGCGAUACGGGCAUAACUUGAGUACUGUAGGGGAGACUGGAAUUCCUGGUGUAGCGGUGGAAUGCGCAGAUAUCAGGAGGAACACCGGUGGCGAAGGCGGGUCUCUGGGCAGUAACUGACGCUGAGGAGCGAAAGCGUGGGUAGCGAACAGGAUUAGAUACCCUGGUAGUCCACGCCGUAAACGGUGGGUACUAGGUGUGGGUUUCCUUCCACGGGAUCCGUGCCGUAGCUAACGCAUUAA